GGUGCUGUGGACAAGUUGGUUAAGUCGUCUGUCUUUCACGCAGAAGAUCGCGGGUUCGAACCCCGUCGGCACUA
RNAcentral lists this transfer RNA (74 nucleotides) under Microscilla marina ATCC 23134. It matches the Rfam family "tRNA". Rfam says of the family: Transfer RNA (tRNA) molecules are approximately 80 nucleotides in length. Their secondary structure includes four short double-helical elements and three loops (D, anti-codon, and T loops). The record is from Rfam by way of RNAcentral. Lineage: Bacteria; Pseudomonadati; Bacteroidota; Cytophagia; Cytophagales; Microscillaceae.